Piliocolobus tephrosceles (Ugandan red Colobus) is the source of this 3155-nucleotide long non-coding RNA. NCBI's taxonomy places the organism in Eukaryota, Metazoa, Chordata, Mammalia, Primates, Cercopithecidae. The record is from Ensembl.
GCUUAAAAAAAACGCUUAAAAACAACGCUUAAAAAAAACGCUUAAAAAACGCCUAAAAACAACGCUUAAAAAACGCCUAAAAACAACGCUUAAAAAACGCCUAAAAAAAAAAAAAAAAAAAAAAAAAAAAAAAAAAAAAAAAAAAAAAAUGAAAAAAAAAAAAAAACCAAAUUUUUUUUUUUUUUUUUUUUUUUUUUUUUUUUUUUUUUUUUUUUUUUAAUUUCCUCUAUGUUUUAAUUUAAUAAGUAAUAUAAACAUAUAAUAUACUUAUUAUUAUGAUAUACAUGAGUGUCACUAUUUAAACACAUAGGACAAAAGACAUAUAGUGAAAACAAAACAUAUCUAAAUAGAUUUGAACGACUCCAAAUUUAUGGUACAUCAUUUUCAUCCGCUAUAUAUAUAUAUAUAUAUAUAUAUAUAUAUAUAUAUUUUUUUUUUUUUUUUUUUUUUUUUGUGUGUAUGUAAAGUUUAACCGCUUUGAUUGUUUAACCCUUUUGAUUGUUUAACCUGAGUGUUUCCUAGCACAUUUUAUUUUUUUCUAUUUCAUUUUUUUUUACCACUUCAAUUUGCUCUAUUUUAUUUUAUUUUUUUGGUAAUAAAACUUGAUGAUUUUGCGUGAUAUAAUUUUUUUUUAAUAUUACUAAUGUUUUAUAAAAAAAAAAAAAAAAAAAAAUGUAAAAAUAUUUGUUUUGUCUGGUAAAAUAUAUUUAUGCAUUGUGUAUGUACGUUUGCAUAUACAUUUGUAACUGUAAAUAUAAAUAAUAGAUACAUAAUUACAUAUUUAGACAUAUAUACGGCUGAAAAAAGCAAAAGGAAAAGUAAAAAAAUGGAUAUGAAUUUAUACAUUCACAGUGUUGAAAUUGAGUUUAUAAAAACUCCCCAAUAUUAUUAUAACAAUACAGAAAAACCAGAACAAAACAUAGUUUAUUGUUUACAUAUAAAAGUAGAAAGUAAUUUGGGUGAAGAAAAAAAAGAAAUAAAAAAUGAAAGAUGUUAUGAAACACCAUGGUAUAUGUGUAUUCAACAGGAAAAUACUGAAGUUUGUAUGAUGUCUUAUGAAAUGAAUAUUUCGUAUGUGUUUAAUUUAUUAGAAAAUAAUGAAAAACUAUUUCUGUACGUCUUAAGAAAGAAUCUAGAAAAAGAAAAAGUUGAAUACCUCCAAAGAAAUGAACUAAACAUAAAAGAUAAAAUAUAUUAUAAUAAUAAUAAUUGUAUAUAUUUUCAAAAUGAUAAAAUAAAAGGAAAAAUAAAAUUAUAUAUAAAAAAUGGAAUAAUAGAUAAUCAUCUAAUAAAUAAAAUAAAAUUUAAUGAGUUUUUAAAAAAUGCAAAUUUUGAAAAAGACUUAUUAAAUAGUUUUGAGAAAAAUAUGGAUCUACAGUUAGAAGAUAAAAACGACAUGAAUGACAAUACGAAUUUAUAUUUAAACAAUAUUGUUCACUUACCUAGUAAGAAUAAUGAAAAUAAUUUAUAUGACACAUAUACAGGAUUAAUUCAUAAAAAUAAUGAAGAAUAUAUUAAUAAUAGUAAUAAUACAGUUUAUGGUGAAAAUAACAUUUAUACACAACCAGUUAUAAGAACAGAUAUAAAAAAGUUAUUAGAUGUGAAUGUAACCUUAUAUUGGGUUUACUUAGAUGAUAAUAAUAAUGAACAAGGACCAUUUAAUAGUUAUACAAUUUUUAAUUGGGUAGCUAAUGAAUAUUUCGAAGAUAACACUUUAAUAAGAUUACAUAAUCAAAAACAUUUUUAUAAAUUAUAUGAAGUUAUUGAAUGUAUUGAAAAAAAUGUUCUGUUGAACUCGGAAACAUACAAUUUAUAUACUGAAACUAUGGAUACAGAAAGAAAACGAACCAAUUUAUCAGAUUGUGAAGACAUACUAAAAAGCGGGAUUAAUCACGAGGCAGAAGCAGGUGCGGAUGUGGAUGUGGAUGUGGAUGCGGAUGUGGAUGUGGAUGCGGAUGUGGAUGCGGAAGUGGAUGCGGAAGUGGAUGCGGAUGCGGAUGUGGAUGUGGAUGUGGAUGUGGAUGUGGAUGCGGAUGUGGAUGCGGAUGUAGAUGCGGAAGUGGAUGCGGAUGUGGAUGCGGAUGCGGAUGCGGAUGUGGAUGCGGAUGUGGAUGUGGAUGCGGAUGUGAAUGCGGAUGUGGAUGCAGAUGUGGAUGCGGAUGUGGAUGCGGAUGUAGAUGCGGAAGUGGAUGCGGGUGCGGGUGCGGGUGCGGGUGCGGGUGCGGAUGUGGAUGCGGAUGUGGAUGCGGAUACGAAUACAAAUACAAAUACAAAUACAAAUACAAAUACAAAUAUAAAUACAAAUAUAAAUACAAAUACGAAUACAAAUACAAAUACAAAUACAAAUACAAAUACAAAUAUAAAUACAAAUACGAAUACGAAUACGAAUACGAAUACGAAUACGAAUACGAAUACGAAUACCAAUACGAAUACGAAUACGAAUACGAAUACGAAUACAAAUAUAAAUACAAAUACGAAUACCAAUACGAAUACAAAUAUGUUGGACAAAGAAAAAAACAAUUAUAACUACAUGAGUAUAAAUAAAGAAUAUUUAAAAAGGGAAAGUGAGUGUUAUGAUAAGAGUUGUGGAACGAUCGAACUUGUUAAUGAAAAAAUUAGUGGAACGACCGAAAUUGGUAUUGAAAAAAAUAGUGGCACUCUCCAAAGUAUCGACGAAAAACAAGAAGAAGAAGAAGAAAAAAAAAUCGCAUGUCUUAAAAAAAUGGAAGAUGAGCAUUUUGAAAAUACGCCUAACGAAAAAAAAAAUAGUAUUAACAAUGUUAAAAAUAUAAAAAAAAAAAAAAAUGAACUAAAAAGGUUAAAAAGGGAAAUUAAAAAAAUUAAACAGGAGAUGGUUAAACUAGCAGAAAAAAGUGACGCGAUGAAGAGAAUAAAUACAAAUAAAGGCGAUAUAAAUAAAGGCAAUAUAAAAAAAGAAGAUAUAAAUAAAGGCAAUAUAAAAAAAGACGAUAUAAAUAAAGGCGACACAAAUAAAGACAACAUAAAUGGUAAUUUUAACGAGAGCAAUUUUAACGAGAGCAAUUUUAACGAGAACAAUUUUAACGAACACAAUUUUAACGAGAACANNNNNNNNNNAAAAAAUAUAAUAGUGUGAAUACUGUAAAAUUAAAAAUAAAAGAAAAUUAUAAAAAACA